GACGAACGCUGGCGGCGUGCUUAAUGCAUGCAAGUCGAACGAGAACUACUUCGCUCGUAAGAGUGAGGUAGGGACAGUGGCGAACGGGUGCGUAACACGUGAGAAACCUGCCUUGGAGAUCGGGAUAGCCCGGGGAAACCCGGAUUAAUACCGAAUACCUUCACGACACCGCAUGGUGAUGUGAAGAAAUGGUCCGCCGCUCCAAGAUGGUCUCGCGGCCUAUCAGCUUGUUGGUGAGGUAACGGCUCACCAAGGCGAAGACGGGUAGCUGGUCUGAGAGGACGAUCAGCCACACUGGGACUGAGACACGGCCCAGACUCCUACGGGAGGCAGCAGCAGGGAAUAUUGCACAAUGGGCGAAAGCCUGAUGCAGCGACGCCGCGUGCGGGAUGAAGGCCUUCGGGUUGUAAACCGCUUUCAGCAGGGAAGAAAUUGACGGUACCUGCAGAAGAAGCCCCGGCCAACUACGUG
Molecule: ribosomal RNA, 471 nt
Filed under: uncultured bacterium
Lineage: Bacteria
Description: bacterial SSU rRNA
Rfam family: Bacterial small subunit ribosomal RNA
Source: RNAcentral